GGAGGAGUGUGGCGUUAGUGUCCCUAACGGACGUUUUCUGAGAUAAUGAGAUCGACAUGCAGGCAAUGAAGGUGCUGACCGAGGCAGAUAAUUUGCAACUUAUUCCCGAAAUCAUCCAUCGACACUCAACGGGAUAUCAUAAUGCCACAAUACCUGAAGGAUAGACACAAAGCUUCAUCCCCAGCCCUUUGUGCUAUCAUUAGGCAGCGCUGAUCUGGAGUCAAGAAAUGCUUUUCCACAACCAUCAGUCGUGAAAGCAGUAGAUGUGUACUACAAGGCACACUAUGUGCUGGACUGCAAAUACCAAGUUCAGUGCCAGGGGUAUGGACUUUUUUUGAAACGUGUGUGCUCACCCAGCAAGGUGUGCAAUCGAAAGAAACCGCCACACUGAGAGGUCUAAUGGCUUAACUUGCACAUUAAAACGUGCUGUAAGUCACUGAAGUAAUGCUGCACCCAUCUAAAAGUAUAAAAGGCUACCUACAAGUUAUAAUUAUUGUAGUCGGUGUGUGAGAGAAUCACAUUAUAAAACUUUGUUUUGAAAAAACAUGUUGU
Molecule: long non-coding RNA, 552 nt
Organism: Asterias rubens (European starfish)
Lineage: Eukaryota; Metazoa; Echinodermata; Asteroidea; Forcipulatida; Asteriidae
Exons: 3
Source: RefSeq, a predicted model, not a curated record